CCCUUAGAUGUUCUGGGCCGCACGCGCGCUACACUGAUGCAUUCAACGAGUCUAAAACCUGCUCUGAUAGGGGUGGGUAAUCUUUUGAAUGUGCAUCGUGAUUGGGAUAGAUGAUUGCAAUUUUUCAUCUUCAACGAGGGAUGCCUAGUAAACGCAAGUCAUCAGCUUGCAUUGAUUACGUCCCUGCCCUUUGUACACACCGCCCGUCGCUCCUACCGAUUGAAUGAUCCGAUGAAUAUCAUGGAUUGAGGAUGCAAGCAGGUUCGCCUGUCUUCAUCUUCGAGAAGUGAAGUAAAUCUUAUCAUUUAGAGGAAGGAGAAGUCGUAACA
RNAcentral lists this ribosomal RNA (329 nucleotides) under uncultured eukaryote. RNAcentral describes it as "partial 18S ribosomal RNA". It matches the Rfam family "Eukaryotic small subunit ribosomal RNA", at positions 1470 to 1796 of the family's 1831-position model. The record is from RNAcentral.